RNAcentral lists this ribosomal RNA (434 nucleotides) under uncultured bacterium. RNAcentral's name for it is "partial 16S ribosomal RNA". It matches the Rfam family "Bacterial small subunit ribosomal RNA", at positions 29 to 507 of the family's 1533-position model. The record is from RNAcentral.
AGCGAACGCUGGCGGCAGGCCUAACACAUGCAAGUCGAACGAACCUUUCGGGGUUAGUGGCGGACGGGUGAGUAACACGUGGGAACGUGCCUUUAGGUUCGGAAUAACUCAGGGAAACUUGUGCUAAUACCGAAUGUGCCCUUCGGGGGAAAGAUUUAUCGCCUUUAGAGCGGCCCGCGUCUGAUUAGCUAGUUGGUUGAGGUAAUGGCUCACCAAGGCGACGAUUAGUAGCUGGUCUGAGAGGAUGAUCAGCCACAUUGGGACUGAGACACGGCCCAAACUCCUACGGGAGGCAGCAGUGGGGAAUCUUGCGCAAUGGGCGAAAGCCUGACGCAGCCAUGCCGCGUGAAUGAUGAAGGUCUUAGGAUUGUAAAAUUCUUUCACCGGGGACGAUAAUGACGGUACCCGGAGAAGAAGCCCCGGCUAACUUCGUG